This 716-nucleotide ribosomal RNA is filed under the name Epilithonimonas bovis. Its description in RNAcentral is "bacterial SSU rRNA". It matches the Rfam family "Bacterial small subunit ribosomal RNA", at positions 24 to 740 of the family's 1533-position model. The record is from RNAcentral. Lineage: Bacteria; Pseudomonadati; Bacteroidota; Flavobacteriia; Flavobacteriales; Weeksellaceae.
UCAGGAUGAACGCUAGCGGGAGGCCUAACACAUGCAAGCCGAGCGGUAGAGUAUCUUCGGAUACUUGAGAGCGGCGCACGGGUGCGGAACACGUGUGCAACCUGCCUUUAUCUGGGGGAUAGCCUUUCGAAAGGAAGAUUAAUACCCCAUAAUAUAUUUGAUGGCAUCAUUAGAUAUUGAAAACUCCGGUGGAUAGAGAUGGGCACGCGCAAGAUUAGUUAGUUGGUGAGGUAACGGCUCACCAAGGCGAUGAUCUUUAGGGGGCCUGAGAGGGUGAUCCCCCACACUGGUACUGAGACACGGACCAGACUCCUACGGGAGGCAGCAGUGAGGAAUAUUGGACAAUGGGUUAGCGCCUGAUCCAGCCAUCCCGCGUGAAGGACGACGGCCCUAUGGGUUGUAAACUUCUUUUGUAUAGGGAUAAACCUACUCUCGUGAGAGUAGCUGAAGGUACUAUACGAAUAAGCACCGGCUAACUCCGUGCCAGCAGCCGCGGUAAUACGGAGGGUGCAAGCGUUAUCCGGAUUUAUUGGGUUUAAAGGGUCCGUAGGCGGAUCUGUAAGUCAGUGGUGAAAUCUCAUAGCUUAACUAUGAAACUGCCAUUGAUACUGCAGGUCUUGAGUAAAUUUGAAGUGGCUGGAAUAAGUAGUGUAGCGGUGAAAUGCAUAGAUAUUACUUAGAACACCAAUUGCGAAGGCAGGUCACUAAGAUUUAAC